Molecule: transfer RNA, 30 nt
Filed under: Amphitecna spathicalyx
Lineage: Eukaryota; Viridiplantae; Streptophyta; Magnoliopsida; Lamiales; Bignoniaceae
Description: partial tRNA-Phe
Source: RNAcentral
CCAGUCAUCUAAUAAUAAUGAGACGAGGAU